AAAUAGGUAUUAUAAAAAAAUUUAUUAAGUUCCAAUUCCUUUCUCUCUAAAUCCUUCCACUUAUGGGAGGAAAGAAAGAAGAGAAUUGGAGCCCAAAAUUUUUCCUCCUAUUCCCUCCUUUUCUUUUCCUUUUCCUCCACUAAAAAACUCCCAAACAUCAAAAUUUUCAAUUUUUCCUUCCAUUCCAUUCCUUUCUCCUCCCAAACAUCAAAACUUUUAACUUUUCCUUCCAUUUCGUUCCUUUCUCCAAGAGGAAGGAAAGAAAAGAAAAGGAGGGAAUAGGAGAAAAAUUUUGGGCUCCAAUUCUCUCCUUUCUUUUCUCCCAUAAGUGGAAGGAUUUCGAGAGAAAGGAAUUGAAACUUAAUAAUUUUUUAUAAUACCUAUUUUACCCUUAAAUUAAAGAAAUACCAAAUUAAAAGGACAAAUAUAUCCUAGAGCAUCUUUUGUUUUAACUUUUCAUAUGUCAUCUCC
This 471-nucleotide long non-coding RNA is filed under the name Phoenix dactylifera (date palm). RNAcentral describes it as "long non-coding RNA (PDAC_LNC021101)". Lineage: Eukaryota; Viridiplantae; Streptophyta; Magnoliopsida; Arecales; Arecaceae. The record is from RNAcentral.